RNAcentral lists this ribosomal RNA (403 nucleotides) under uncultured bacterium. RNAcentral's name for it is "partial 16S ribosomal RNA". It matches the Rfam family "Bacterial small subunit ribosomal RNA", at positions 30 to 526 of the family's 1533-position model. The record is from RNAcentral.
AUUGAACGCUGGCGGCAGGCUUAACACAUGCAAGUCGAGCUAGCGGCGGAAGGGAGUGUAAUGUAUGGGGACUGCCCGAUAGAGGAGGAAAACUACUGGAAGCGGUUGUUAAUACCGCAUAUUAUCGGAUAACCCAUAUGGGAUGAGUUAGUAGUCGAGGUACUGACUCACGUAGGCGACGCUCCCUAGCUGGUCUGAGAGGAUGAUCAGCCGAACUGGGACUGAGACACGGCCCAGACGCACACGGAGGCAGCAGUGGGGAUUAUUGCAGAAUGGGCGCAAGCCUGAUGAAGCCAUGCCGCGUGUAUGAAGAAGGCCCUAGGGUUGUAAAGUACUGUCAGUCGGGAGGCGUUACCAACAGAAGAAGCACCGGCUAACUCCGUGCCAGCAGCCGCGGUAAUUC